Molecule: long non-coding RNA, 747 nt
Filed under: Brassica napus (rape)
Lineage: Eukaryota; Viridiplantae; Streptophyta; Magnoliopsida; Brassicales; Brassicaceae
Description: long non-coding RNA (BNAP_LNC009763)
Source: RNAcentral
GCCUAGCUUCAGUGCGUCGAUGGAGCACGUCUCCGGUUCAGGCGUUAGUGCCGGAGGUGGAGGAGGACACGGAAUUGGUGGAGGUGGCGGUGGCGGACAUGGCGUCUCUGGGGUUGGAGUUGGCGGUGGUGGCGGGGUUACGACUGGUGGGGUUGGAGUUGGCGGUGGAGGAGAAGGCGUAGGGGAUGGAGUGUAUGGAGGUGGUGGCUUGAUGGUGGGCGGUUUUGGAGUGUAAGGUGGAGGGGAUGGAGUGUAUGGAGGUGGUGGCUUGACGGUGGGCGGUUUUGGAGUGUAAGGUGGAGGGGAUGGAGUGUACGGAGGUGGUGGCUUGACGGUGGGUGGUUUUGGAGUGUAAGGUGGAGGGCAUGGAGUGUACGGAGUUGGAGGCUUGACGGUGGGCGGCUUUGGGGUGUGAUGAGGUGGCUUGUCGGUGGGUGGUUUGGGAGUGUGAUGAGGUGGUUUAACGGUGGGUGGUUUUGGGGUAUGAUGAGGUGGUUUUGGGAUAUGAUGAGGUGGUUUAACGGUGGGUGGUUUUGGAGUGUGAUGAGGUGGUUUAACGGUGGGUGGUUUUGGAGUGUGAUGAGGUGGUUUGACGGUGGGUGGUUUUGGAGUGUGAUGAGGUGGCUUGACAGUGGGUGGUUUUGGAGUGUGAUGUGGUGGCUUGACAGUGGGUGGUUUUGGAGUGUGAUGUGGUGGUUUGACAGUGGGUGGUUUAGGCGGUUUAACGGGAUGUUGAGGAGGUUUAAC